AUUCCUAUUCAUCCUAUUACUAAGAAUAUGGAAUUCCUGUGUUUGAUUUGCACGGUAAUAUUAAUUAGCCAUGUUAUUUAAUAUUACAAAAAAUAUACAAUUUAUUUAUUUAUUUAUUUAAUUAAUUUUAGAUAAUGUUACAAAAAAUUUCAACAUAUUUUUAGAAAAAAUGAAGAGAGUAUAAGUUUGAGAGAGAGAGCAUAAUUAAAAAAAUAGAAAGAAAAAUAUAGUCGAAACUAGAGGAAGUGAGAGAGUUGAAAUUUUAGAAAGAGAGAGAGAGAGAGAAAAAGCUUAGUUUAGAGAGAGAAAAAAGUUGAAUUUUAGAGAGAAAAAUAAAUUGAGAGAGAGAUAUAAGGUUAGAGUGUAAAGAAAAAUAAUAUCAAUUAGCCGGCAGGUAAGAAGAAAGAAAGAGAUUAGACAUAUUAUGAUUACCCCAAUUCAUUAAUAUGAGGAUACCCACCCUCCCUCAAAGGAAUGAGAUUAGUACUUUGGGGUGAAUCUUAUUCCCAAGUGAAUCCAAUAUUACCAACUAGAUUACUUAGUGCGUUUAGUCAAACACCGUCAAUUUUUUUAUUCCCAUUGGAUUAGUAGGAAUCUUUAAAAGAUAGCGCGAACUAAACGCACCCUAAAUGUAAUCUGAUUUAGAUUCUGAACUGUAAGUUGACCAUAGGAGAUAACAACUAAUUACUCUAAACAGUAGUGGUUUAGACGUACGUUUAGAUCUGGCUAAGAUAAG
RNAcentral lists this long non-coding RNA (736 nucleotides) under Ananas comosus (pineapple). RNAcentral describes it as "long non-coding RNA (ACOM_LNC011783)". Lineage: Eukaryota; Viridiplantae; Streptophyta; Magnoliopsida; Poales; Bromeliaceae. The record is from RNAcentral.